This 255-nucleotide ribosomal RNA is filed under the name uncultured bacterium. RNAcentral describes it as "partial 16S ribosomal RNA". It matches the Rfam family "Bacterial small subunit ribosomal RNA", at positions 524 to 776 of the family's 1533-position model. The record is from RNAcentral.
UACCGAGGGUGCGAGCGUUGUUCGGAAUUACUGGGCGUAAAGCGCGCGCAGGCGGCCCUUUAAGUCUACCCGUGAAAUGCCGGAGCUCAACUCCGCGCACGCCGGGGGAUACUGGGGGGCUGGAGACAUGUAGAGGCAAGCGGAAUUCCGGGUGUAGCGGUGGAAUGCGUAGAGAUCCGGAAGAACACCUGAGGCGAAGGCGGCUUGCUGGGCAUGAUCUGACGCUGAGGCGCGAAAGCGUGGGGAGCAAACAGG